UGGGGAAUUUUGGACAAUGGACGCAAGUCUGAUCCAGCCAUGCCGCGUGCGGGAAGAAGGCCUUCGGGUUGUAAACCGCUUUUGUCAGGGAAGAAACGAGUUUCUCUAAUACAGAGACUUAAUGACGGUACCUGAGGAAUAAGCACCGGCUAACUACGUGCCAGCAGCCGCGGUAAUACAGAGGGUGCAAGCGUUAAUCGGAAUUACUGGGCGUAAAGCGCGCGUAGGUGGUUUGUUAAGUUGGAUGUGAAAGCCCCGGGCUCAACCUGGGAACUGCAUCCAAAACUGGCAAGCUAGAGUAUGGUAGAGGGGGAUGGAAUUCCGCGUGUAGCAGUGAAAUGCGUAGAUAUGCGGAGGAACACCGAUGGCGAAGGCAAUCCCCUGGACCUGUACUGACGCUCAUGCACGAAAGCGAGGGGAGCAAACA
RNAcentral lists this ribosomal RNA (427 nucleotides) under uncultured bacterium. Its description in RNAcentral is "bacterial SSU rRNA". It matches the Rfam family "Bacterial small subunit ribosomal RNA", at positions 355 to 774 of the family's 1533-position model. The record is from RNAcentral.